UACGUAGGGUGCGAGCGUUGUCCGGAAUUAUUGGGCGUAAAGAGCUCGUAGGCGGUGUGUCACGUCGGCCGUGAAAACCUGCGGCUCAACUGCAGGCUGGCGGUCGAUACGGGCAGGCUGGAGUUCGGUAGGGGAGACUGGAAUUCCUGGUGUAGCGGUGAAAUGCGCAGAUAUCAGGAGGAACACCGGUGGCGAAGGCGGGUCUCUGGGCCGAUACUGACGCUGAGGCGCGAAAGCUAGGGGAGCAAACGGG
RNAcentral lists this ribosomal RNA (253 nucleotides) under uncultured bacterium. RNAcentral's name for it is "partial 16S ribosomal RNA". It matches the Rfam family "Bacterial small subunit ribosomal RNA", at positions 524 to 776 of the family's 1533-position model. The record is from RNAcentral.